GGUGGAUAGCUCAGUGGUAGAGUGCUUGCCUAGCAUUCACAAGGUCCUAGGUUCAAUCCCUAGUACCUCCA
This 71-nucleotide transfer RNA is filed under the name Camelus dromedarius (Arabian camel). It matches the Rfam family "tRNA". From Rfam's summary of the family: Transfer RNA (tRNA) molecules are approximately 80 nucleotides in length. Their secondary structure includes four short double-helical elements and three loops (D, anti-codon, and T loops). Further hydrogen bonds mediate the characteristic L-shaped molecular structure. tRNAs have two regions of fundamental functional importance: the anti-codon, which is responsible for specific mRNA codon recognition, and the 3' end, to which the tRNAs corresponding amino acid is attached (by aminoacyl-tRNA synthetases). tRNAs cope with the degeneracy of the genetic code in two manners: having more than one tRNA (with a specific anti-codon) for a particular amino acid; and 'wobble' base-pairing, i.e. permitting non-standard base-pairing at the 3rd anti-codon position. The record is from Rfam by way of RNAcentral. Lineage: Eukaryota; Metazoa; Chordata; Mammalia; Artiodactyla; Camelidae. RNAcentral also lists the same sequence under 1 other name.